GGGAGGGCAGUCCUGUUGAAAGCGAGUUAAUGCAGUCGAGGGGCACGGGCAGGUGCAAUACUUCCGCCGGCGACCGGCGCACGGGUGAGUAACCCGUAUGGAACCUGCCCGUAGCAGGGGGAUAAGCGGAAGAAAUUCCGUCUAAUACCGCGUAAUAAUUCCGAGAGGCAUCUCAUGGAGUUUAAAGGGUAACACCGGCUACGGAUGGCCAUGCGGCGCAUUAGCUAGUUGGCGGGGUAACGGCCCACCAAGGCGACGAUGCGUAGGGGUUCUGAGAGGAAGGUCCCCCACACUGGUACUGAGACACGGACCAGACUCCUACGGGAGGCAGCAGUGAGGAAUAUUGGUCAAUGGGCGCGAGCCUGAACCAGCCAAGUCGCGUGAGGGAAGACGGUCCUAUGGAUUGUAAACCUCUUUUGUCGGGGAGCAAAAGACGCCACGCGUGGCGUUCCGAGAGUACCCGAAGAAAAAGCAUCGGCUAACUCCGUGCCAGCAGCCGCGGUAAUACGGAGGAUGCGAGCGUUAUCCGGAUUUAUUGGGUUUAAAGGGUGCGCAGGCGGAAGAUCAAGUCAGCGGUAAAAUUGAGAGGCUCAACCUCUUCGAGCCGUUGAAACUGGUUUUCUUGAGUGAGCGAGAAGUAUGCGGAAUGCAUGGUGUAUCGGUGAAAUGCAUAGAUAUCACGCAGAACUCCGAAUUGCGAAGGCAGCAUACCGGCGCUCAACUGACGCUCAUGCACGAAAGUGUGGGUAU
RNAcentral lists this ribosomal RNA (750 nucleotides) under uncultured bacterium. RNAcentral describes it as "bacterial SSU rRNA". It matches the Rfam family "Bacterial small subunit ribosomal RNA", at positions 1 to 768 of the family's 1533-position model. The record is from RNAcentral.